ACGGAAGGCAGCAGUGGGGAAUAUUGCACAAUGGGGGAAACCCUGAUGCAGCGACGCCGCGUGAGCGAAGAAGUAUUUCGGUAUGUAAAGCUCUAUCAGCAGGGAAGAAAAUGACGGUACCUGACUAAGAAGCUCCGGCUAAAUACGUGCCAGCAGCCGCGGUAAUACGUAUGGAGCAAGCGUUAUCCGGAUUUACUGGGUGUAAAGGGAGCGUAGACGGGACAGCAAGUCUGAUGUGAAAGGCGGGGGCUCAACCCCUGGACUGCAUUGGAAACUGUUGACCUCGAGUGCCGGAGAGGUAAGCGGAAUUCCUAGUGUGGCGGUGAAAUGCGUAGAUAUUAGGAGGAACACCAGUGGCGAAGGCGGCUUACUGGACGGUAACUGACGUUGAGGCUCGAAAGCGUGGGGAUCGAACAGGAUUAGAUACCCUGGUA
RNAcentral lists this ribosomal RNA (434 nucleotides) under uncultured Lachnospiraceae bacterium. Its description in RNAcentral is "partial 16S ribosomal RNA". It matches the Rfam family "Bacterial small subunit ribosomal RNA", at positions 341 to 792 of the family's 1533-position model. The record is from RNAcentral. Lineage: Bacteria; Bacillati; Bacillota; Clostridia; Lachnospirales; Lachnospiraceae.